GGCAGGGUAGCUCAGUUGGUUAGAGCACAGGACUCAUAAGCCUGGGGUCACGAGUUCAAAUCUCGUCCCUGCUACCA
This 77-nucleotide transfer RNA is filed under the name Candidatus Saccharimonadota bacterium. Its description in RNAcentral is "tRNA-Met". It matches the Rfam family "tRNA". Rfam says of the family: Transfer RNA (tRNA) molecules are approximately 80 nucleotides in length. Their secondary structure includes four short double-helical elements and three loops (D, anti-codon, and T loops). The record is from RNAcentral. RNAcentral also lists the same sequence under 3 other names. Lineage: Bacteria; Candidatus Saccharimonadota.